AGCUGGGCUAUACCAUUACUUCUGCAUCUGGUGUACCUGUGAACCUAUAUUAGUUUGCAGGAUUCCAGUAGUAACUGUUGUUUGUAUAAUCAGUUCUGGCUAUCUAGUUUUGGCAAAGAAUCCAUCCUGAUGUUGGGGUAACAUGAAUUUCUGCAGAGUGAUUGUCAAUGACAUUUUGUGAUCUUUACAAAGAGUCAUUUCACAGACCUGCAGGAAAUGCAUGUUGCCGAAUUUGGUAGUAAAACAGUAACAACACUGCCAGGAUAAACAGACAAACAAUAUUUUUGUUUAAAAAAUUUGAAUGACUUAUCUGUAAUUUU
Molecule: long non-coding RNA, 320 nt
Organism: Mytilus trossulus (common blue mussel)
Lineage: Eukaryota; Metazoa; Mollusca; Bivalvia; Mytilida; Mytilidae
Exons: 3
Source: RefSeq, a predicted model, not a curated record